UGGGGAAUAUUGCACAAUGGGCGCAAGCCUGAUGCAGCCAUGCCGCGUGUAUGAAGAAGGCCUUCGGGUUGUAAAGUACUUUCAGUCGGGAGGAAGGUGUCAAGGUUAAUAACCUUGGCAAUUGACGUUACCGACAGAAGAAGCACCGGCUAACUCCGUGCCAGCAGCCGCGGUAAUACGGAGGGUGCAAGCGUUAAUCGGAAUUACUGGGCGUAAAGCGCACGCAGGCGGUUGAUUGAGUCAGAUGUGAAAUCCCCGGGCUUAACCCGGGAAUUGCAUCUGAUAAUGGUCAGCUAGAGUCUUGUAGAGGAGGGUAGAAUUCCAUGUGUAGCGGUGAAAUGCGUAGAGAUGUGGAGGAAUACCGGUGGCGAAGGCGGCCCCCUGGACAAAGACUGACGCUCAGGUGCGAAAGCGUGGGGAGCAAACAGG
This 429-nucleotide ribosomal RNA is filed under the name Chloroflexota bacterium. Its description in RNAcentral is "Chloroflexi bacterium partial 16S ribosomal RNA". It matches the Rfam family "Bacterial small subunit ribosomal RNA", at positions 355 to 776 of the family's 1533-position model. Lineage: Bacteria; Bacillati; Chloroflexota. The record is from RNAcentral.